This 489-nucleotide ribosomal RNA is filed under the name uncultured bacterium. RNAcentral's name for it is "partial 16S ribosomal RNA". It matches the Rfam family "Bacterial small subunit ribosomal RNA", at positions 30 to 506 of the family's 1533-position model. The record is from RNAcentral.
AUUGAACGCUGGCGGCAGGCCUAACACAUGCAAGUCGAACGGUAACAGGAAGAAGCUUGCUUCUUUGCUGACGAGUGGCGGACGGGUGAGUAAUGUCUGGGAAACUGCCUGAUGGAGGGGGAUAACUACUGGAAACGGUAGCUAAUACCGCAUAAUGUCGCAAGACCAAAGAGGGGGACCUUCGGGCCUCUUGCCAUCGGAUGUGCCCAGAUGGGAUUAGCUAGUAGGUGGGGUAACGGCUCACCUAGGCGACGAUCCCUAGCUGGUCUGAGAGGAUGACCAGCCACACUGGAACUGAGACACGGUCCAGACUCCUACGGGAGGCAGCAGUGGGGAAUAUUGCACAAUGGGCGCAAGCCUGAUGCAGCUAUGCCGCGUGUAUGAAGAAGGCCUUCGGGUUGUAAAGUACUUUCAGCGGGGAGGAAGGGAGUAAAGUUAAUACCUUUGCUCAUUGACGUUACCCGCAGAAGAAGCACCGGCUAACUCCGU